Molecule: ribosomal RNA, 551 nt
Filed under: uncultured archaeon
Lineage: Archaea
Description: bacterial SSU rRNA
Rfam family: Archaeal small subunit ribosomal RNA
Source: RNAcentral
CGGGGUGCAGCAGGCGCGAAAACUCCACACUGUACGACAGUACGAUGGGGUUAUCUCGAGUGCAGUCCGAUAAGGGCUGCUUUUCCAUAGAGUAAUAUCCUGUGGGAAUAAGAGGGGGGCAAGACUGGUGUCAGUCGCCGCGGUAACACCAGCCCCUCGAGUGGUGGGGACUAUUAUUUGGUCUAAAGCGUCCGUAGCUGGCUGUAUCCGUCCCCCGUUAAAUCCAGCGUCCUAAACGUUGGACUGCGGGUGAUACCAUACAGCUAGAGGGUGGGAUAGGUGAGCGGUAUUUCUGGGGUAGGGGCGAAAUCCUUUGAUCCCAGGAGGACCACCAGUGGCGAAGGCUGCUCACUAGAACACGCCUGACGGUCAGGGACGAAAGCUGGGGCAGCGAACCGGAUUAGAUACCCGGGUAGUCCCAGCUGUAAACGAUGCUAGCUAGGUGUUGGGUCGGCCACGCGCCGCCCCAGUGCCGCAGGGAAGCCGUUAAGCUAGCCACCUGGGGAGUACGGCCGCAAGGCUGAAACUUAAAGGAAUUGGCGGGGGAGCAC